GGAAUAUUGGUCAAUGGUCGGAAGACUGAACCAGCCAUGCCGCGUGCGGGAAGAAGGCCCUACGGGUUGUAAACCGCUUUUACGGGGGAGCAAUAAGCGUCGUGCGCGGCGCGAUGAGAGUACCCCGGGAAUAAGCAUCGGCUAACUCCGUGCCAGCAGCCGCGGUAAUACGGAGGAUGCGAGCGUUAUCCGGAUUUAUUGGGUUUAAAGGGUGCGUAGGCGGACCAGUAAGUCAGCGGUGAAAUGUCCCGGCUCAACCGGGUCACUGCCGUUGAUACUGCUGGACUGGAGUACAAACGGCGCAGGCGGAAUGUGUCAUGUAGCGGUGAAAUGCAUAGAUAUGACACAGAACACCGUUCGCGAAGGCGGCUUGCGAGCAUGGUACUGACGCUGAGGCACGAAGGCGUGGGGAUCGAACA
Molecule: ribosomal RNA, 419 nt
Filed under: uncultured bacterium
Lineage: Bacteria
Description: bacterial SSU rRNA
Rfam family: Bacterial small subunit ribosomal RNA
Source: RNAcentral